GAUCCUGGCUCAGAUUGAACGCUGGCGGCAGGCUUAACACAUGCAAGUCGGAACGGUAACAUAAAGAAGCUUGCUUUUUUGAUGACGAGUGGCGGACGGGUGAGUAAUGCUUGGGAAUCUAGCUUAUGGAGGGGGAUAACUACGGGAAACUGUAGCUAAUACCGCGUAAUAUCGAAAGAUUAAAGUGUGGGACCUUAGGGCCACAUGCCAUAGGAUGAGCCCAAGUGGGAUUAGGUAGUUGGUGAGGUAAAGG
This 253-nucleotide ribosomal RNA is filed under the name uncultured bacterium. Its description in RNAcentral is "partial 16S ribosomal RNA". It matches the Rfam family "Bacterial small subunit ribosomal RNA", at positions 15 to 263 of the family's 1533-position model. The record is from RNAcentral.